AUUUUAACAUCGGCUGGCUUUCCAGGUGUGUGCAGGGUGAUGAUUAGCUCUACCUGCCACCCAUCACAGAACUCAGAGUUUCACCACUUCCUUCUCCAUUUUCUUUAGCUGUCAGCAUAUAGUUAAUGGGCAACAACAAAGCUCUCCAUCCAGUUCUGGGAAAUAAUAAUCAUGGUUAAUAGUUAUUGAGAACUGAUGAUUUCGUUUCUUCUUCAUACCAACGCUUGGGGUAGGCACCAUUUUAAAAGCGAUUGGAGACAGGUUAAACAACUUGCCCUCAAUCAACGGUUGGGAAGUGAAAGAACCAAGCUUCAAAUCCAGGUCUGUCUGGGUCUUGAGCCAAGCUCGAAGUCUGUGUCACAUUGCCCAGGACUCGGCUGCCAAUUCUCCCCACCUCCUCGUCCCUCACUGCUGCAUCAGCAAAUCCAGGGCUCAUGGCAGGAAGAGCAGAGAAGAGCAAAGAUGAAAACUCCUCGAAGUCACAUCUAUCCAUCCUUGCCUGGCACAGAGGAGAUGCUUCAUUUGGAUGUGUUGCUGGAGGGGAGAGGUGCAAGCAGUAUGCCAUGGGCACUCAGAGAAAGAGACUAUCUUUAUUCCUGUAAGCUUCAACUAGGGAGCUUCAAUGUUGCGCAAAUGACAGCAGAGAGAGUCAUCAGGCUUGUCUGUCUUCCCACAUCAGUGCCUUCACCUUGCAAUUUGGCUGAAAUCGUUUCUAUCCAGGAGGAGAACAGAGAGAGAAAAUGGCGGAAGUAUUUCCAAUUUUGAGAUCAUAGACCAAGCUAUAGAUAUCUGCUCUAACUGGAAAUUUGAAGAAAUAAAUUCUGCAUGUUGUUCAGUAGAGGUAAUAUGAAAAACAGCUUUGUUGAUUUUCCUAGGAAGGCUUUCUACAUAGCCUCUCUGAGACCUGCCUGCCUGAGGGAUUCAUCUUCAUGACUUGAUUUACCGUGUUCCAGGGUUUGUAUGAGGCUGGAGGGAUAAUUUACCAGUCUAGGUGGCUUUGACUUUUAUCCAGGUGAU
This 1017-nucleotide long non-coding RNA is filed under the name Equus asinus (donkey). RNAcentral describes it as "lncRNA (ENSEASG00005035732.1)". The record is from RNAcentral. Lineage: Eukaryota; Metazoa; Chordata; Mammalia; Perissodactyla; Equidae.